CCCUUAGAUGUUCUGGGCCGCACGCGUGCUACACUGAGUGGAUCAGCGGGUCAGGUUGCGCGAAAGCGUUUCCUAAUCUUUAAAUCCGCUCGUGAUGGGGAUUGACGGUUGCAAUUUUCCGUCAUGAACGAGGAAUACCUUGUAAGCGCGGGUCAUCAUCCCGCGCUGAAUACGUCCCUGCCCUUUGUACACACCGCCCGUCGCUCCUACCGAUUGAGUGGUCCGGUGAGGCUUUGGGAUCUGAGCGGAAAGAGCGUUUCGCUGUUUCUGCCCGGAAAGCUCAGUCGAACCUUAUCAUUUAGAGGAAGGAGAAGUCGUAACA
Molecule: ribosomal RNA, 322 nt
Filed under: uncultured eukaryote
Lineage: Eukaryota
Description: partial 18S ribosomal RNA
Rfam family: Eukaryotic small subunit ribosomal RNA
Source: RNAcentral